Molecule: ribosomal RNA, 484 nt
Filed under: uncultured bacterium
Lineage: Bacteria
Description: partial 16S ribosomal RNA
Rfam family: Bacterial small subunit ribosomal RNA
Source: RNAcentral
AUUGAACGCUGGCGGCAGGCCUAACACAUGCCAGUCGAGCGGAUGAAGGGAGCUUGCUCCUGGAUUCAGCGGCGGACGGGUGAGUAAUGCCUAGGAAUCUGCCUGGCAGUGGGGGAUAACGUCCGGAAACGGGCGCUAAUACCGCAUACGUCCUGAGGGAGAAAGUGGGGGAUCUUCGGACCUCACGCUAUCAGAUGAGCCUAGGUCGGAUUAGCUAGUUGGUGGGGUAAAGGCCUACCAAGGCGACGAUCCGUAACUGGUCUGAGAGGAUGAUCAGUCACACUGGAACUGAGACACGGUCCAGACUCCUACGGGAGGCAGCAGUGGGGAAUAUUGGACAAUGGGCGAAAGCCUGAUCCAGCCAUGCCGCGUGUGUGAAGAAGGUCUUCGGAUUGUAAAGCACUUUAAGUUGGGAGGAAGGGCAGUAAGUUAAUACCUUGCUGUCUUGACGUUACCAACAGAAUAAGCACCGGCUAACUUCGUG